RNAcentral lists this transfer RNA (87 nucleotides) under Marinococcus luteus. It matches the Rfam family "tRNA". Rfam says of the family: Transfer RNA (tRNA) molecules are approximately 80 nucleotides in length. Their secondary structure includes four short double-helical elements and three loops (D, anti-codon, and T loops). The record is from Rfam by way of RNAcentral. Lineage: Bacteria; Bacillati; Bacillota; Bacilli; Caryophanales; Bacillaceae.
GCCGGGGUGGUGGAAUUGGUAGACACACAGGACUUAAAAUCCUGCGGUUGGUCAUCAACCGUGCCGGUUCGAGUCCGGCCCUCGGUA